CGCGCAUGGCGUCGCCCUUCCUUCCUUCCUCUUAAUCUUCUCUGCCAGCCGGCAGUGGCAUCCCAUGUGCUGCAGCUUCCAGCAUUGUCCUCUGCCUUGUCGGCCCACAGGCCAUUUGCCUCAGCCACCCCAGUCCAUUCACAAUUUCCAGCAGAUUCCGUUCAACACUAGUGUGCAGCUACCCGCCUCCUGGAUUCAGGGUUGCAUUCAUGGCUUCAUUCAAAAAGUGUACUGUGGGCAGAUGUUGAUCAACAAGUGAGCUAAGGGACUGGGACGCCCUCCUCGCCGCGGCGUCAUUGCUGGCCAUCAGCGGCGGAAGCGGGGUGGCGGCCGGGACCUUGUCGUGCUCGUCUCCGACUACUGUCAAGUAAAAAUUCAGGUUGGGAAGCUUAUUUUUUCCAAAGUGAUUGUUUGGGUACUACAAGCUCCCACGGAGUGGAACCGGUUGUUACAACAGGUUUGAAGUAGAUAUUACACAAGGUUUGAUUUUUCUAGACCAUGUACAAGAACAGUAGCGUACUUGGUCUGCCUUUUCUUAACUUUAUUUGAUUUUUUUUGUGAAAUAUAUAAAAGCCAGUAGCAGUACUAUUACUUAUUUUACAACAGGUCAUUGACUUAAACUAUAUCAGUUUAGCACAUGUAGUUACAAAAACAAAUCAACAGGUUUGUAGGUUUUUUUCAGCUCAUCUUGUUGGCUUUUUUGGUUCAUAUUGCAGGCUUUUAGGAUUAGAUACUCAUGUCUGUUUCAGUAUUAGGGAGAAGUAAAACCAUUCAUUUCUUGUAUAUUUAUUAUUACUGUAGUACUAGCUACUCCGUUCUAGUAGUAUACGGAGUAUGUGAUCAGCUCAUGCAAUAUAUACUAUGCACAAAAUGUCUGUACGGUGCUUUACAUACAAAGAACUUGCUUUCUCUAGACCAUGCAAGCUUCCUCAAAGGAGCUCAUAUCGAACGAGUGCUUUACAUACAAAUGAGCGCAAAGAUGACCAGUAGCUUAAUUUGGAUGUCGCGUGGCCGACACCAUUAUCGUAAAUUUUUGUCUCUGCACCAAGUUUCUUAAUGUAUCUUGUUCACAAAAUUUUAGUGAAAAAUUUACUUCAUGUUACUCGUGAUCUGGCAAUUGUAUGUUCACCUGUGAAGGUAUCUCUCAUUGCUUAUUGUUACAUUAAUUUCCAUGGUAAGAAAGGUUUACAUUAAAAGUAACAUCCAUAUAGGAAAAUUACUUCUAUUCUAACCUAUGUUUUUAAAGCGUCCCUAAGGCGACGCCUAGGCGACGCCUAGGCGUCGAAGCGCUCCCCCUCCGCUUUGGAAAAUCGACCGCUUUGGGCGCCUAGGCGUCCAAAGCGCCCGCCUAGGCGUCGCCUAGGCGCCAAAGCGCCCCCCCUCCCUAAGGCGGUAAGGCGUCGCCUUAAAAACAUAGAUUCUAACACUUUUUUUUUGGAAAAAAGAGCACUAGUACUGAUGAGUCGUAUUGACAAGGAUGCCGUCUAAAAUUCUGAUGAGUCCUACUGAGAAGGACAUAAUUAUUGUGCAACUGGAAAAAACAAAUGUUUUAUAAAGAAAUGUGCUUGAAGUUCAAUUACUAUGGUCUAAAAAAUUCAAUUAUAUCGCUAGUGCAUUCAGAAUUGCUAAUUUUAAAAAAAUGAAGUUCCUGUUUCAGGAUUAUGUAAGUUCAAAAUUAUUGUAUGAUAUGUGUGCCAUAGUUAUGUGGACUUCAACUCUGACUAAUAUUCCAUUAUAGUACUACUGCAUAUUCACUUCUGAUUGCUUCUUGCUGCCACUAUUUUUAUCAUGAUUUUGUGUGUCCACCCAGGAGUGUUUUUGUUUCUGUAGGUCAGCUGCUCAACAAUAAAAGCAUGUACAUGUAUUACUACUGCGAAGGUUCAAAAAUCAGAACUCAACAAGUUCAACGUCGAUGGUACUGUGCACAUGCGCUAAGCCGUUCUACAACAUAGCGCUAAGCCGUUCUACGCAGCUCGGGGAGCAAUGUCACUUCCAGAGUUCUAGUGGCUGUAGCAGCCAAGAAGGAACUGCCUAUUGCCGGCGGGGCUCAAGCGGUGUCACUUUCAGUGGCUAUAGCAGCCAAAAAAACCAAAACCCCUCUAUAUUCUGAUGGCAAAUCUGUAAGCAUCUCACUAAUGAAAGAGCUAUGAUGUGUACGUGUGAGUUUUAAAAGUGUGAGGCUAAGGUCAACCAUUAACCCAAAAUGUUUCACUGCCACUAACCACUUGAAAUUUAUGUACAACUUUUCAGUUUUUAUUGAUUGAUUGUUGGCUUUGUUCUUGACAAUCCUUUAUGAAUCUACUCUGCUUUUGUGGAUAGGCGAAAAAUAUUGUUUUUUAGUAUUUCUUGCUUCAGUAGAUUAUUGAACGAGGUUUCAGAGCAGAUUGAGAGAAAAAGAGAAAUGUUAGUUCAUGCUUCAGUACAUUAUUUUUCUUGCUCCAGUACAUUAUUUUUCUUUAUUACUCUUUUCAAUAUUUCUUGCUUCAGUACAUUAUUUUUCUCUUACUACAUUUCUUUGUUCUUUUCAUUCUGAAAAGGCUACCUUAGCAGCACAACUACGCUUUUUUUUCCUUUUCAGCUCUCAAACUGUAGCCUAGUUUUGUUGUCAGUUCUCUGUUUUUGAUGGAUCUGAUAUGGUUAGCCCUAUCUAGUUUUUCUGUAUGUACAGUGCUCUAGCAAAAGUUGUUGCUUCUUUCUUGUAGUACUAAUGUUGUUGCUUCUCCAAUCGAAUGUUGCUCAGCUUCCUCCCAAUCCACUUGAUCUCAUCUUGCUCCGAAGCAUGCUUUAGUUCGACAAUAAGCUCUAGAAAGGUUCAGAGUACUUUGCACUUCAGGUUGUGGUGGGUCGUGUGUUAUGAUGUGUUCAUCGCUAGUUCCUAUAGAGAUGUACUCUAUAUGAACUUUUCUGUUAUAGCUAAUUGAUCGAACAUAUCUCAUAGUGAUGUGGUUCCUUCUCUGUAUUUCUUUUGCUGUGGUGCACUACUAUAUUUGCAGAAAAAAUAAGUUCUUUUGUGAGAGAAUUCAGUCUGGAAUCAUGGAAAAAAGAGCAUACAUUGAACUGGCUUUUUAUGGUUUGUCCAAUCUAUUUAAUUUGGUAUGUGUAGAAAAGAUGCUAUGUCUACAUGUUCUUUAGCUGUUUGUCACUAUUCCUGUGAGCACAAAUUUUAAAAAAAUGUUUACUUUGUGUUCUCGCGUAUGUUUUUGGGCAGUACAAACACAUUGCCAUAGUGAGUACAGAUGCAGCACCUUGGGAAGUAGUAACGUUGCCGCGAUGGGCUUUCCGUGUGCAGGGUCCACUAGGUUCUGUUUCUGAGAGAAGCAUCGCCGUCUGGGAGAGUUCAAUGAUCUGAACUAGGAAAGUUCAUCGAUUCAUAACAAAAGAAAAUGGUGGUGUACACAGAGCUGGAGGUCGGCAAGUCGGGCAAGGCCACAGGAGUUGAACUACAGAAAAAAUAUCAGCCCAAUGACAGAAAAACAUCAGUUCAAUAAAUAUAUAUGCAGGAGGCUGGGAGCAAAAAAGACUGGCCACGUCGCGCCUCCACCUCCCUGUCGUGGCGUGCCUCCACAUCCCGGCCGC
Molecule: long non-coding RNA, 3576 nt
Organism: Triticum dicoccoides
Lineage: Eukaryota; Viridiplantae; Streptophyta; Magnoliopsida; Poales; Poaceae
Exons: 5
Source: RefSeq, a predicted model, not a curated record